CAGACCUGCUGUAUUAAUCUACACAUUCAGUCAGAGAAGCAUGAAUUCCCAAGUACGUUAAGAAAGGAACAGGAGAGAAGAAUUCAGUGAUGUCUUCAAUGGAGAUGUAUUUACACAGCAUAAGGAUGAACUAGAAAAAAAGGAUGGAACCAUCUACUGCUGUUGUUCUGUGACAGGGGUCAAUAUUCCAGAUGCCCCAAAAGAGAAUAAAUCUAAGUGUUUGAAUCUGGUCUCUAUGCAUUACUAUUGGAGAAAUUUACAGUCCUUGAAAGAAUCAGAGAAACUUUAAAAAGAGGUGUGGAUUUUGGCUGGGAUCUGGGAGGGAAGCAGAGGAAAGCCAGACUGCCAUUAAUGUCAGCCAAUGAUGGAAGUGUUCCACAUUGCCCUGAGGAAGGAUCUGCCUGUUGUAUUUUCCGUUAUCCUUAAAGGGCUGAACCUACUUCCAGCUUGAGUAUCUCAGGGCAAUGCAACCAUACAGCGCAUGUGUAUUUCAUGAAAGAUUGAUACUUUAAUUUAUGUUAAGGAACUUGUUAGUGCAAGCUGCUAUGCUACAAACUGGGACCUUUUCCAAUACGAAUGCUGGAGAGCAAUGCAUCCACAUGUGAUUUUUCUCUCUAGAGUGUUUUGUCCCU
RNAcentral lists this long non-coding RNA (632 nucleotides) under Anser brachyrhynchus (Pink-footed goose). RNAcentral describes it as "lncRNA (ENSABRG00000008880.1)". Lineage: Eukaryota; Metazoa; Chordata; Aves; Anseriformes; Anatidae. The record is from RNAcentral.